This 402-nucleotide ribosomal RNA is filed under the name uncultured bacterium. RNAcentral describes it as "bacterial SSU rRNA". It matches the Rfam family "Bacterial small subunit ribosomal RNA", at positions 29 to 418 of the family's 1533-position model. The record is from RNAcentral.
AGCGAACGUUAGCGGCGCGCCUAACACAUGCAAGUCGCACGAGAAACGGAGCAAUCCGCGGUACAGUGGCGCACGGGUGAGUAACACGUGGAUGACCUUCCCUGGAGUGGUGGAUAACCUGCCGAAAGGCGGGCUAAUACAGCAUGGGACCACGACGCUUUGGCGAUGUGGUGAAAGCGGGCCUCUAUAUAUAAGCUCGCGCUCCGGGACGGGUCCGCGUCCCAUCAGCUAGUUGGUGAGGUAACGGCUCACCAAGGCAACGACGGGUAGCUGGUCUGAGAGGAUGGCCAGCCACACUGGAACUGAGACACGGUCCAGACUCCUACGGGAGGCAGCAGUGAGGAAUCUUGCGCAAUGGGCGAAAGCCUGACGCAGCGACGCCGCGUGGGCGAAGAAGGCCUC